RNAcentral lists this ribosomal RNA (503 nucleotides) under uncultured bacterium. RNAcentral describes it as "bacterial SSU rRNA". It matches the Rfam family "Bacterial small subunit ribosomal RNA", at positions 29 to 516 of the family's 1533-position model. The record is from RNAcentral.
AACGAACGCUGGCGGUACGCCUAAUACAUGCAAGUCGAACGUGAAAGGGGGCAACCCUGAGUAAAGUGGCGCACGGGUGAAUAACACGUAGGUGACCUGCCCAUUAAUGGGGGAUAACAUAGAGAAAUCUGUGCUAAUACCGCAUAAGCUCAGCGAGAUUAAAAGUUGCUGAGGAAAGUUGGCCUCUAUUUAUAAGCUAACGUUGAUGGAAGGGCCUGCGGCGCAUUAGCUAGUUGGUGAGGUAAUGGCUCACCAAGGCGACGAUGCGUAGCCGGUCUGAGAGGAUGAUCGGCCACACUGGAACUGAGACAAGGUCCAGACUCCUACGGGAGGCAGCAGUAGGGAAUCUUGCGCAAUGGAGGAAACUCUGAACCAGCCAUGCCGCGUGUAGGAUGACGGCCCUCUGGGUUGUAAACUUCUUUUGGAUGGGCGAAAAAACGGGAUUAUCCUGGACUGACGGUACCAAUCAGAAUAAGACACCGGCUAACUCCGUGCCAGCAGCC